This is a long non-coding RNA of Sinocyclocheilus rhinocerous, 183 nucleotides long. RefSeq lists it as uncharacterized. The transcript is spliced from 3 exons. The record is from RefSeq and is a predicted model, not a curated record. NCBI's taxonomy places the organism in Eukaryota, Metazoa, Chordata, Actinopteri, Cypriniformes, Cyprinidae.
UGCAUCAACGACAUCUUGCACAAGAAAGGCACGCGAGUGUCGUUCAGUUUUGAGUUCGCUGGAAAAUCAUACUGAGACUGUGAAUACACCACUCUUGCCUUCACCUGCAUCUCACACAGGAAGGGAACGCUCCUUCAGUUUUCAUCUCCAUUCAGAAUCUUAUAGGAUGUGAGAAUAACAGUG